Molecule: ribosomal RNA, 1469 nt
Filed under: uncultured bacterium
Lineage: Bacteria
Description: bacterial SSU rRNA
Rfam family: Bacterial small subunit ribosomal RNA
Source: RNAcentral
GGACGAACGCUGGCGGCGUGCUUAACACAUGCAAGUCGGACGGUCGGCACUGGAAGGUUCGCUGGAAGGUGCCGGUAGUGGCGGACGGGUGAGUAACGCGUGAGGACAUGGCUCCAGGAGGGGGACAACGUUUGGAAACGGACGCUAAGACCCCAUAUGCCGGAAGGUGAAAAUGGUGCAAGCCAGCCUGGAGAGUGACUCGCGUCCUAUCAGCUAGUUGGUGGGGUGAAGGCCUACCAAGGCGAUGACGGGUAGCCGACCUGAGAGGGUGGCCGGCCACACUGGAACUGAGAUACGGUCCAGACUCCUACGGGAGGCAGCAGUGGGGAAUAUUGGGCAAUGGGCGCAAGCCUGACCCAGCGACGCCGCGUGGGGGAAGAAGUCUUUCGGGAUGUAAACCCUUGUUGUACGGGACGAAACGAAUGACGGUACCGUACGAGGGAGCCCCGGCAAACUACGUGCCAGCAGCCGCGGUAAUACGUAGGGGGCGAGCGUUGUCCGGAAUUACUGGGCGUAAAGCGCACGUAGGCGGGCUGUCAAGUCGGCCGUGAAAGGCACUGGCUCAACCGGUGUUUGUCGGUCGAUACUGGCGGUCUGGAGUAUGGGAGAGGGAACUGGAAUUCCCGGUGUAGCGGUGAAAUGCGUAGAUAUCGGGAGGAACACCGGUGGCGAAAGCGGCUCUCUGGCACGCUACUGACGCUGAGGCUCGAAAGCGUGGGGAGCGAACGGGAUUAGAUACCCCGGUAGUCCACGCCGUAAACGUUGUGCACUAGGUGUAGGAGGUAUCGACCCCUUCCGUGCCGCAGCUAACGCAUUAAGUAUCCCGCCUGGGGAGUACGGCCGCAAGGUUGAAACUCAAAGGAAUUGACGGGGGCCCGCACAAGCGGUGGAGCAUGUGGUUUAAUUCGAUGCAACGCGAAGAACCUUACCAGGGUUUGACAUGCUGGUGGUAGAAGCCUGAAAGGGUGACGACCUUCGGUUUUCCGAGGGAGCCAGCACAGGCGCUGCAUGGUUGUCGUCAGCUCGUGUCGUGAGAUGUUGGGUUAAGUCCCGCAACGAGCGCAACCCUUACCCUUAGUUGCGACCAGGUAAUGCUUGAGCACUCUAAGGGGACUGCCGGUGACAAACCGGAGGAAGGUGGGGAUGACGUCAAAUCCGCAUGGCCCUUAUGUCCUGGGCGACACACGUGCUACAAUGGCCAGUACAGAGGGUUGCGAACCCGCGAGGGGGAGCCAAUCCCAAAAAGCUGGCCCCAGUUGGGAUUGCAGGCUGCAACUCGCCUGCAUGAACGCGGAAUCGCUAGUAAUCGCGUAUCAGCUACGGCGCGGUGAAUGCGUUCCCGGGCCUUGUACACACCGCCCGUCACACCACGAAAGUCGAUUUUACCUGAAGUCACUGAGCUAACCCGCAAGGGAGGCAGGUGCCGAAGGUAGGGUCGGUGAUUGGGGUGAAGUCCUAACAAGGUAGCC